This 273-nucleotide long non-coding RNA is filed under the name Elaeis guineensis (African oil palm). RNAcentral describes it as "long non-coding RNA (EGUI_LNC051425)". The record is from RNAcentral. Lineage: Eukaryota; Viridiplantae; Streptophyta; Magnoliopsida; Arecales; Arecaceae.
CUUUCUCUUUUCUUCUUUUUUUCCGCUCUCCCUCUUCCUUAAAAAAAAUUCUAAACCAUAUACAUUAGGAUUUGCACUGGUAUAUGCAUAGUAGGAGAUCUAUUUUUUCUAUCCUAGUGAAUCCAAUCCUGAAAUUGAAUGACUGAUCCACAUUAAAUCUGACAAUCAAAUGGCUAAAAAUCCUAAAGAACCACCUAGACAGAUGAAGAAAUAUUUUAUUCCUUCCACCUAUAAUCCAUUGACUUGUAUCUACUUACUUGAUAUUCCUGCAAG